RNAcentral lists this unclassified non-coding RNA (90 nucleotides) under Pseudomonas helmanticensis. The record is from RNAcentral. Lineage: Bacteria; Pseudomonadati; Pseudomonadota; Gammaproteobacteria; Pseudomonadales; Pseudomonadaceae.
UGUGGGAGCGAGCCUGCUCGCGAAGGCGUCAGCACAGUCGGAGUCUAUGUUGCCUGACACACCGCUUUCGCGAGCAGGCUCGCUCCCACA